UCGGGAAUUUUGGGCAAUGGGCGAAAGCCUGACCCAGCAACGCCGCGUGAAGGAUGAAGUAUUUCGGUAUGUAAACUUCGAAAGAAUAGGAAGAAUAAAUGACGGUACUAUUUGUAAGGUCCGGCUAACUACGUGCCAGCAGCCGCGGUAAUACGUAGGGACCAAGCGUUGUUCGGAUUUACUGGGCGUAAAGGGCGCGUAGGCGGUGUGUCAAGUCAGUUGUGAAAUAUCUCAGCUUAACUGAGAGGGUGCCAUUGAUACUGCAGGGCUUGAGUACAGAUGAGGUAGGCGGAAUUGACGGUGUAGCGGUGAAAUGCAUAGAUAUCGUCAAGAACACCGAUAGCGAAGGCAGCUUACCAAGCUGUAACUGACACUGAGGCACGAAAGUGUGGGGAUCAAACAGGAUUAGAUACCCGCGUAGUCCCUGAGCGGGCUGGCAAGGCGCAU
RNAcentral lists this ribosomal RNA (447 nucleotides) under uncultured bacterium. Its description in RNAcentral is "bacterial SSU rRNA". It matches the Rfam family "Bacterial small subunit ribosomal RNA", at positions 355 to 825 of the family's 1533-position model. The record is from RNAcentral.